AUUGAACGCUGGCGGCAUGCCUUACACAUGCAAGUCGAACGGCAGCACGGGUGCUUGCACCUGGUGGCGAGUGGCGAACGGGUGAGUAAUACAUCGGAACAUGUCCUGUAGUGGGGGAUAGCCCGGCGAAAGCCGGAUUAAUACCGCAUACGAUCUACGGAUGAAAGCGGGGGACCUUCGGGCCUCGCGCUAUCGGGUUGGCCGAUGGCUGAUUAGCUAGUUGGUGGGGUAAAGGCCUACCAAGGCGACGAUCAGUAGCUGGUCUGAGAGGACGACCAGCCACACUGGGACUGAGACACGGCCCAGACUCCUACGGGAGGCAGCAGUGGGGAAUUUUGGACAAUGGGCGAAAGCCUGAUCCAGCAAUGCCGCGUGUGUGAAGAAGGCCUUCAGGUUGUAAAGCACUUUUGUCCGGAAAGAAAUCCUUGGCCCUAAUACGGUCGGGGGAUGACGGUACCGGAAGAAUAAGCACCGGCUAACUACGUG
Molecule: ribosomal RNA, 486 nt
Filed under: uncultured bacterium
Lineage: Bacteria
Description: partial 16S ribosomal RNA
Rfam family: Bacterial small subunit ribosomal RNA
Source: RNAcentral